This is a long non-coding RNA of Aegilops tauschii subsp. strangulata, 1100 nucleotides long. RefSeq lists it as uncharacterized. NCBI's taxonomy places the organism in Eukaryota, Viridiplantae, Streptophyta, Magnoliopsida, Poales, Poaceae. The record is from RefSeq and is a predicted model, not a curated record.
AUCCAGCCAGCUGCCCACCUCCCCCCACGGCCCCACCACGGAAAGAAAAGCAAUCGGCGCACAAACAAAAGUGGACGACCUAAACAGGGGAGCAAAAAUCUCAGCUCCGAGAGAUAUCCAGAGAGGCACUUCGGAGAACGGAGAUGCACGGCUUCUGCUCCACGUCCAACUACGUAUUCGCCGUCCUGGUUGACGGCGUGCUGGGCUACCUCCACCGCGGCAGCACCGAAUGCCUGGCGGGCGGCGCCUACCUAGGAGGGCUCCUAUAGAAAAGAGACCAAUCUUUUGGUGUGGCGGAUGUGUGGCGACCGCCUCUGACGGCUCUCUGGCCCCGGCAUGACUGCCAGUCCGACGGCUCUCCGCCUCCGCCACGACCACGGGUUCCCGUUCCAGCUGGUGACAACUUUGUCUCCCUCCAAGGCUACCAAGUUGAUCUGCAGUUAGUGAAUACUUCAUUUUACUCUAAUGCACAAACAACCGGUACUCUCCCUACAUCUGGAUAUCCAAUCACAACACACUCAAUCCAAGAACUGCAGCCUUCAAGUACCUGGUAUGCUACACAUCCCUCAGUGCCAAACUUAGGCUUUUGAUUUUGUAUUCCAAUUGAUGUCUAACCUUUGCAAAUACUGAGAGGAAGACGAGCAAUGUGAUCCAAGUACUGGAAGUAGCAUCACUAUUUUCCAUGUAUUGCACUCAUAGGCAAGAUCUCCUUUUCUUGGUUUAUUUGACUAUAUAUGUUCACAUGUGAUUUAGAUUUACACUAUGUUUUUUCGUCAAAAUUCAGUUAUAGGUCCUUGCAACACAUAUUAAUGAUCGUGCUUCCUAUUGCUGUUGUAUUCACAUGACGAAAGAAGUACUAUUUUCAUGUUCGUAAUAAUAUACCCCUUCCUCUUAUGUGAUGAAAACAGUAAGAGCAUUGCCAGUGCGUAUAAGGAGAAGAAAGACAUAAGAACUAUAAACAGGUUCUAUACCUUGCCUGAAUCCUAAUUACGGAUUACUCACUCAACAUGGACUCUCUUGGUGUAUACCAUACAAUGCCAUGUUAUUAUGUAUCGACUAUAUUUGUUUCCAUUAAUGUUAUCGAUUUCCCGGUCCUGUCA